RNAcentral lists this ribosomal RNA (301 nucleotides) under uncultured bacterium. RNAcentral describes it as "partial 16S ribosomal RNA". It matches the Rfam family "Bacterial small subunit ribosomal RNA", at positions 509 to 808 of the family's 1533-position model. The record is from RNAcentral.
CAGUAGCCACGGUAAUACGUAGGUCCCGAGCGUUGUCCGGAUUUAUUGGGCGUAAAGGGAGCGCAGGCGGUUUAGUAAGUCUGAAGUUAAAGGCAUUGGCUCAACCAAUGUAUGCUUUGGAAACUGUUAGACUUGAGUGCAGAAGGGGAGAGUGGAAUUCCAUGUGUAGCGGUGAAAUGCGUAGAUAUAUGGAGGAACACCGGUGGCGAAAGCGGCUCUCUGGUCUGUCACUGACGCUGAGGCUCGAAAGCGUGGGUAGCGAACAGGAUUAGAUACCCCUGUAGUCCCUGUCUCUUAUACA